Molecule: ribosomal RNA, 253 nt
Filed under: uncultured bacterium
Lineage: Bacteria
Description: partial 16S ribosomal RNA
Rfam family: Bacterial small subunit ribosomal RNA
Source: RNAcentral
UACGUAGGGUGCGAGCGUUAAUCGGAAUUACUGGGCGUAAAGCGUGCGCAGGCGGUUUUGUAAGCCAGAUGUGAAAUCCCCGGGCUCAACCUGGGAAUGGCAUUUGGGACUGCAAGGCUGGAGUUUGGCAGAGGAGACUGGAAUUCCUGGUGUAGCAGUGAAAUGCGUAGAUAUCGGAAGGAACAUCAGUGGCGAAAGCGACUUCCUGGACCAGUACCGACGUUCAGGCACGAAAGCGUGGGGAGCAAACAGG